Long non-coding RNA from Lycium ferocissimum, 1405 nucleotides. RefSeq lists it as uncharacterized. The transcript is spliced from 3 exons. NCBI's taxonomy places the organism in Eukaryota, Viridiplantae, Streptophyta, Magnoliopsida, Solanales, Solanaceae. The record is from RefSeq and is a predicted model, not a curated record.
CACACACAAAAGCUCCAAGUCGACCUAACACAUUACACAUACACAAAAGCUCCAAGUCACCUAAUACACAAAAAAAAACCCUAAUCAGGGUUUUAUAUACUCCCCAAGCUCGGGUCGAGACCACACAACUCAUUUAACUAAAUAAAAUUUGAACUGUGUCAGAUGAAAGAUGAAGCAAGUCAAACAACCAAUGUGGGUGGAAGCACUCCUAUUACUGAAUCUCUCGAUUCAACACUGGAAGUUGAACAAGAUCCAGUGACUGUGAAGAGGAAAGCUAUACAACUAAGAUCUGCUGCUUGGCCGCAUUAUGAUAAGCUCAUAGAAGAUGGAAUUAAUAAAGCAAAGUGCAAGUAUUAUGGUAAAGUUCUCUUAGCUGAUCCAACUAAAAAUGGAACAACUGGACUGAAUAAACAUUUGAAAACUUGUCCUAGAAAUCCAAAUAAGGUUGACACUUCCAAUUCCAAGUACAAACAAUCAAAUUUAAACUUUCCAUUAGAAGGUGAAAAGGGUGAUGGGACAAAUUUAAAUCGGAAUGUGCAUUUAGCACCGGGGGCCAUAUUCUUGAUUCAUUUAGGAGUUUUUUGACUUUGAAAUUGGUGCAAGUUGUUAUUUAUCUUCAAGAUUGGCGUCGAAAUGAGCCUUAUCCCGUAAAUGUUGAAGAAGAUUUUGAUGAUCUUAUGAAACUUGAACUUGGUAUGUUUUUUUUAUUUUUAUACUUUUUAUUUAGUUUAAUUUUUGACACAUCUUAAAUUCUUUUAAGAUAUGACUGAUAGCUUAAAAGAUUCCCUCGUUCUUGAUUUAUAAUCGCAAGUUGCCUUGGCCUUAGGUAUCCAUUGAAUAUUUAAUUUAAUUUAGUUUGAUGUUCCACCAAUUCUCCACUUUGGUGCUGGGUUUGUGCUUUCUCUUUAAUUUUGUUGGUUCUUAAAACUAAAGGCGACAUUGCUAUUUGACAACUGAUCCUCUUGUUGGAUUCUGUUGGAUUUGUGCUUUCUCUUUUUCCUACUUGACUGGGUGUUUACUUCCGUUGCAUAACACUUUUUCUAGAAGUUUGAGUAUAUUUUAGUAGCCUCUUUUUCUUCUAGAGGUAGAUGACCAGACUUUACUUUAUGUACUGCCAAUAUAAUAGCCUCUUUUUCUAGAUUUUUCAAUCUCAGUGGUAUCAAUGGUACUUACUUUCUAGAUUUAAGCUUCUACGUUGCAAAACUUGCUACUGCUACUUAUUUUAGAUUGUUAUGGUAGGAAAAAACGAAAGGCUUGAUCAGGUUAUGAAUUUCCUAUGGAUAGAUAUCUCUUUUCUGUACCAUUGUGCUAAGAUUCCUGGGUUUAUGGAUGAGCUGAGUGUUGCUUGCUGUUCUAUACCUUGCAUUUACAAUGAAUAAUUUUACUACUUAUCUGUUCAUGGAAG